Eriocheir sinensis (Chinese mitten crab) is the source of this 1639-nucleotide long non-coding RNA. RefSeq lists it as uncharacterized. NCBI's taxonomy places the organism in Eukaryota, Metazoa, Arthropoda, Malacostraca, Decapoda, Varunidae. The transcript has 3 exons. The record is from RefSeq and is a predicted model, not a curated record.
AUGUAAAUCCGUUUUGUUUUAUAUGUACCUUGGCUGUCGUGAUGAAGGUCCUUGGAAGUUGUGUGUCCUCUGGAAAGACUCUUGAUUGUGAUGAUUGGGUCUAAAUGUGGCGUUGUGUAGUGUUUCUUUUACUCAUCUGUGUUGUUAUGGAUGAGUCUUAUUCACCCCUGAUAAGACUCACCCACAAUUUUGAUGAUGUGGUCUAAAAAUGGUGUGUGUUUUUCCUCUCUCCUUGCUGCCUGUUGCCAUGGAUGAGUCUUAUUCACCCCUGAUAAGACUCACCCACAGUUUUGAGGGCGUGAGUCUUCCCUUACGGACGAUACAACUUUCAUAACUUUUUCUUCCUUUUCGGCGGGUACGACUUUAUCAACAGCCUUCCCUUCUUUUUAAUCUUGACAGUCUUUUCAAAUCUUUGUUUUCGCUGAACUCAGAGUUUUUUGUUCCUAAAACUUGAUUCCUUUGUCGAUAAAACUAAACCAUCGCAAAAACUCAUAUUUUCCUUCCUUUGUGUCCUAAAACUUGAUUCCUUUGUCGAUUAAACUUGAUUCCUUUGUCGAUAAAACUAAACCAUCGCAACAACUCAUAUUUUCCUUUCUUCGUGUCCUUAAACUUGAUUCCUUUGUCGAUAAAACUAAACCAACGCAAAAACUCAUAUUUUCCUUUCUUCGUGUCCUUAAACUUGAUUCCUUUGUCGAUAAAACUUGAUUCCUUUGUCGAUAAAACUAAACCAUCGCAACAACUCAUUUUCUUUUCUUUAUAUUCAUCCCACCCCGACAGUUAAUGUCAGGGUCAGCAUCCCACCCCGUCAGUUAAGACAGGGUCAGCAUCCCACCCCGAGAGUAAGUCAGGGUCAGCAUCCCACCCCGUCAGUUCAGACAGGGUCAGCAUCCUACCCCGUCAGUUAAGACAGGGUCAGCAUCCCACCCCGAGAGUAAGUCAGGGUCAGCAUCCCACCCCGUCAGCUUGCCUUGAAAUUCCGUGUCGUGUUUUGAUCGUGUCUUGUACCGAGUCGGGCUGUUUGGUUGAAGGUUCUUGCAGUGUGUUUUGUCGCCGGGUAAUACUCCCUCUUGAUGUUGAUGUGUUAGGAUCUGCAGAUUAUUGUGUACUUUUUUCACCCUUUUCUCUGAGUUCCAUCUCGUUAUGGUUGAGUCAUAUUCACCCCUGAUAAGACUCGCCCAUAAUUUCGUUGUCGUUCAGGUCCAAAGGUGAUGUGUAUUUGUUGCUUGUUUAUCCUAUCUCUGUGUCCCGUCUUGUUAUGGUUGAAUCCUACUCACCCCAAAUAAGACUCGCCCAUAAUUUUGACGGUGUCAGUCUUUCUUCUUAUUGGGAGGGUACAACUUUAUCAGCAUCCUUCUCUUCUUUUUAAUCUCCGGACAUUUCUUUUCAAGGCACGGUCUGCGUCUUAACUAAACAGUCAAGCUAGUGUUUAUAUCCCACCCCGACAGUAUGUCAGGGUCAGCAUCCCACCCCGUCAUUUAAGACAGGGUCAGCAUCCCACCCCGUCAUUUAAGACAGGGUCAGCAUCACACUCCGUCAGCUUGCCUUGAAAUUCCGUGUCGUGUUUUGAUCGUGUCUUGUACCGAGUCGGGCUGUUUGGUUGAAGGUUGUUGCACUGUGUUUUGUCCCCGGGUAAUACUCC